This 497-nucleotide ribosomal RNA is filed under the name uncultured bacterium. Its description in RNAcentral is "partial 16S ribosomal RNA". It matches the Rfam family "Bacterial small subunit ribosomal RNA", at positions 28 to 507 of the family's 1533-position model. The record is from RNAcentral.
GAUGAACGCUGGCGGCGUGCCUAAUACAUGUAAGUCGAGCGAACAGGCGAGGAGCUUGCUCCUCUGACGUUAGCGGCGGACGGGUGAGUAACACGUGGAUAACCUACCUAUAAGACUGGGAUAACUUCGGGAAACCGGAGCUAAUACCGGAUAAUAUAUUGAACCGCAUGGUUCAAUAGUGAAAGACGGUUUUGCUGUCACUUAUAGAUGGAUCCGCGCCGCAUUAGCUAGUUGGUAAGGUAACGGCUUACCAAGGCAACGAUGCGUAGCCGACCUGAGAGGGUGAUCGGCCACACUGGAACUGAGACACGGUCCAGACUCCUACGGGAGGCAGCAGUAGGGAAUCUUCCGCAAUGGGCGAAAGCCUGACGGAGCAACGCCGCGUGAGUGAUGAAGGUCUUCGGAUCGUAAAACUCUGUUAUUAGGGAAGAACAAAUGUGUAAGUAACUAUGCACGUCUUGACGGUACCUAAUCAGAAAGCCACGGCUAACUACGUG